UGACAGCCUGAGAGUAAAUCCAUGGCACAGACAGAUAAGGGUUUGUGUGCUGCAGAGCCUUAAUGCUUCAAGAUAAGUUCCUUGGGAGGAGGAUAUCGAGAAGGACUGAUGGUGUUCCCAGCCUGUGAAAGCACUGCAAAAUCCUGUCUCUGGUUGCUUUCUAACACAGGGUCAUGGAAAUUCAUCCUUUACCUGUGUCACAAGCUUUCUGGGGAUGAUUAGUGUUUGAAAGAGUGAAAAGAUGAAGAGAAUGUACAUGUUUAUACAGGACUGUAAAACUGCAGCUUUGACUCUUGUUGUUUCUUCAUAUUUUUAAGAACUCAGUACACCUGCAGCUGCUCUCAGCUCUCUGUCCUCUCCUUCAGCAGAGCUGAUGCACAGGACUUUCAGCUGUGGUCGGCCAGUGCCUGAGGCAUUGUGCUGA
This is a long non-coding RNA of Cygnus olor (mute swan), 424 nucleotides long. RefSeq lists it as uncharacterized. The record is from RefSeq and is a predicted model, not a curated record. The transcript is spliced from 3 exons. Lineage: Eukaryota; Metazoa; Chordata; Aves; Anseriformes; Anatidae.